GGCUUCGUGGUGUAGUGGUCAGCACCCUCAGUGCAUAUUCGAGAGGUCCGUGGUUCGAAUCCUGGCGAAGGCA
This is a non-coding RNA of Stegodyphus mimosarum, 73 nucleotides long. The record is from Rfam. NCBI's taxonomy places the organism in Eukaryota, Metazoa, Arthropoda, Arachnida, Araneae, Eresidae.